Photinus pyralis (common eastern firefly) is the source of this 439-nucleotide long non-coding RNA. RefSeq lists it as uncharacterized. The record is from RefSeq and is a predicted model, not a curated record. The transcript has 5 exons. NCBI's taxonomy places the organism in Eukaryota, Metazoa, Arthropoda, Insecta, Coleoptera, Lampyridae.
UGUUUGCAAGUUCGGCUUAUGUUCUCAGUUAUUUUAAAGUCCGUGUCGAGAAUACUCGCGGGAUAUUUUUAAAUUUCGUUGUGUUUACAUUAAAGUGUCAUACAUGGAGAACGAACAAACGAUGUAAAAGAAAAUCCGACCGUAGCAGUCAAAGAUGAUUUAAAAGAAGUUAAACUACCCGGGGGGAAAUCCGUUUUGCGCGACUGAAAAAUGGAGAAAGAAGGUGAAAAUCCGCACAAAACAUCGAGACUCUCUAUUAAAUCGCCCGUAUCGAACGAAGACGGCGUUUUAUUCAACAUGGCUCUGCAAUGGGAUAAACUAUCACCAGCAGAAUUUGAGCAGCUACAGGAUUUUGCUUCUUAUUCUACCAAAAAACUAGAAGAGGUUCUAGAAGAAUUCUGUGGUUCUGGUCCACCCCAUAAGAACAAUCCUGAUGGGG